GAUGAACGCUAGCGGCAGGCUUAAUACAUGCAAGUCGAGGGGUAACAGGGAGUGCUUGCACUCCGCUGACGACCGGCGAACGGGUGCGUAACGCGUAUGCAACCUACCUAUGACAGGGAAAUAGUCAGAAGAAAUUUUGAGUAAUGUCCCAUACUAUUUAAUAUUAGCAUUAAUGUUAAAUCAAAACUUCGGUGGUCUUAGAUGGGCAUGCGUCUUAUUAGUUUGUUGGUAAGGUAAUGGCUUACCAAGACUACGAUAAGUAGGGGCCCUGAGAGGGGGACCCCCCACACUGGUACUGAGACACGGACCAGACUUCUACGGAAGGCAGCAGUAAGGAAUAUUGGACAAUGGAGGAAACUCUGAUCCAGCCAUGCCGCGUGCAGGAUGAAUGCCCUAUGGGUUGUAAACUGCUUUUAUACAGGAAGAAACCUUUGUACGUGUACGAAGCUGACGGUACUGUAAGAAUAAGGAUCGGCUAACUCCGUGCCAGCCGCCGCCGUAACAC
RNAcentral lists this ribosomal RNA (505 nucleotides) under uncultured bacterium. RNAcentral's name for it is "bacterial SSU rRNA". It matches the Rfam family "Bacterial small subunit ribosomal RNA", at positions 28 to 526 of the family's 1533-position model. The record is from RNAcentral.